GGGACACGUGGUAUCCUGUCUGAAUAUGGGGGGACCAUCCUCCAAGGCUAAAUACUCCUGACUGACCGAUAGUGAACCAGUACCGUGAGGGAAAGGCGAAAAGAACCCCGGCGAGGGGAGUGAAAAAGAACCUGAAACCGUGUACGUACAAGCAGUGGGAGCACCUUCGGGUGUGACUGCGUACCUUUUGUAUAAUGGGUCAGCGACUUAUAUUCUGUAGCAAGGUUAACCGUAUAGGGGAGCCGCAGGGAAACCGAGUCUUAACUGGGCGUUAAGUUGCAGGGUAUAGACCCGAAACCCGGUGAUCUAGCCAUGGGCAGGUUGAAGGUUGGGUAACACUAACUGGAGGACCGAACCGACUAAUGUUGAAAAAUUAGCGGAUGACUUGUGGCUGGGGGUGAAAGGCCAAUCAAACCGGGAGAUAGCUGGUUCUCCCCGAAAGCUAUUUAGGUAGCGCCUCGUGAAUUCAUCUUCGGGGGUAGAGCACUGUUUCGGCUAGGGGGUCAUCCCGACUUACCAACCCGAUGCAAACUACGAAUACCGAAGAAUGUUAUCACGGGAGACACACGGCGGGUGCUAACGUCCGUCGUGAAGAGGGAAACAACCCAGACCGCCAGCUAAGGUCCCAAAGUCAUGGUUAAGUGGGAAACGAUGUGGGAAGGCACAGACAGCCAGGAUGUUGGCUUAGAAGCAGCCAUCAUUUAAAGAAAGCGUAAUAGCUCACUGGUCGAGUCGGCCUGCGCGGAAGAUGUAACGGGGCUAAACCAUGCACCGAAGCUGCGGCAGCGACACUAUGUGUUGUUGGGUAGGGGAGC
Molecule: ribosomal RNA, 815 nt
Filed under: Klebsiella pneumoniae
Lineage: Bacteria; Pseudomonadati; Pseudomonadota; Gammaproteobacteria; Enterobacterales; Enterobacteriaceae
Description: partial 23S ribosomal RNA
Rfam family: Bacterial large subunit ribosomal RNA
Source: RNAcentral